GACGAACGCUGGCGGCGUGCCUAAUACAUGCAAGUCGAGCGAAUCUUUGGGGGCUUGCUCCCAAAGAUUAGCGGCGGACGGGUGAGUAACACGUGGGCAACCUGCCUAUAAGACUGGGAUAACUUCGGGAAACCGGAGCUAAUACCGGAUCAUUCAUAUCUACUCAUGUAGGUAUGUUAAAAGACGGUUUACGCUGUCGCUUAUAGAUGGGCCCGCGGCGCAUUAGCUAGUUGGUGAGGUAACGGCUCACCAAGGCAACGAUGCGUAGCCGACCUGAGAGGGUGAUCGGCCACACUGGGACUGAGACACGGCCCAGACUCCUACGGGAGGCUG
RNAcentral lists this ribosomal RNA (333 nucleotides) under uncultured Bacillota bacterium. RNAcentral describes it as "bacterial SSU rRNA". It matches the Rfam family "Bacterial small subunit ribosomal RNA", at positions 28 to 351 of the family's 1533-position model. The record is from RNAcentral. Lineage: Bacteria; Bacillati; Bacillota.